Molecule: long non-coding RNA, 1105 nt
Filed under: Androctonus crassicauda
Lineage: Eukaryota; Metazoa; Arthropoda; Arachnida; Scorpiones; Buthidae
Source: RNAcentral
AGGACCGCUUAUCGGUCACGGUUAUUCAACUUUGUUUGGACUGCGACCAAUUGGGUGAGUACAACUUGAGUAAUAAAAAAAACCCUGCUAAUUUUUCUUUAUCGCGAUAGUGGGUAAACAAUCGGUUAUCUUUGAAAGAUACAGUUUGCGCUCUCUCUUUUUUUUUUUUCAACCGGUAGGAUUAUGGUAGUAACUAAAUGGGUGUUUGCUUGAUGUCUAUACACACACGCACCCAACUUACUAUAGAUGAAUGCCAGCCGGUGAUAAUAGAAGCUGGGUUCCAAAGGGAUGAUUGUAUCAAGCAGGUUGACAGUGUAGGAAAGGACAGGAUGUCCCGUUUCUAUUCUGUUCAGAAAUCGAUCCCCUGAGACUAGGUAUGCGCUACAGUUCCGAACGUUAAAUUGCCAAGUUAAGUUUGUUUCUACGCGUCGUUAUCCCAACGGAGGAAGUAAAACCUUAACUCUGUGGCUCGGAUUACAGCGGGGGUUCUAGGAAUACUUAUAAUAUAAUUAACUAGAGAAUUUCGGCAAUGGAAGAAUAAGCAAAAAUAGCAUGUAAAAACUCCAUUGUUAACAAAAAUGCCGCCAGAAUGUCGAUACGUCAACACAGCUUUUCCCCUUCCGUUUUGUUACAAGGGAAGAAGUGUGAAUGUCGGAUUCCGUUCCAUGGCCAAGUGGGUGACGAAGCAAUCCUGGGAAAACAUUAAGCGCACUCCUGCUGUGCCUUUCAUCGCUGCCUGUGAAGGCCAUGCGACCUAUAAACUACAGAACUGUAGAUUCGCUGCUAUGGCUUUUAUAGUUUAGAGCUGGCUGUGUUACCGAAACUAAUCUGGCCACUUGUGAAACAGUCUACGAAUCACUGAACAAUUAGAUUAGCUCUUCCUUUUUUUUAUUUUUUUAACUACUACCGUUGCGUAAAUAAUCGCGUUGGUUUGACUGUUGCUGAAAAACUAAUUAAUUAAUCAUUCAGAUUUAUGAUGUACUAAAUCAUACGGUUAUUAUGGCCACCAGUCUGUUAAACGAAAUCUAAAAGACCUGUUGAUUUUAACGUGACAGAAACCAAAAUUUAUUUAUUUCUCCAGCAGUUUUUAUUCGCUUCGCUCUUA